CUACGGGAGGCAGCAGUGGGGAAUCUUGCGCAAUGGGCGAAAGCCUGACGCAGCGACGCCGCGUGAGGGAUGAAGGCCUUCGGGUUGUAAACCUCUUUCGGCAGGGACGAAGCGAAAGUGACGGUACCUACAGAAGAAGCACCGGCUAACUACGUGCCAGCAGCCGCGGUAAU
Molecule: ribosomal RNA, 173 nt
Filed under: uncultured soil bacterium
Lineage: Bacteria
Description: partial 16S ribosomal RNA
Rfam family: Bacterial small subunit ribosomal RNA
Source: RNAcentral